RNAcentral lists this ribosomal RNA (406 nucleotides) under uncultured bacterium. RNAcentral describes it as "partial 16S ribosomal RNA". It matches the Rfam family "Bacterial small subunit ribosomal RNA", at positions 29 to 526 of the family's 1533-position model. The record is from RNAcentral.
AUUGAACGCUGGCGGCAGGCUUAACACAUGCAAGUCGAACGAGUGGCGGACGGGUGAGUAAUGCUUGGGAAUCUAGCUUAUGGAGGGGGAUAACUACGGGAAACGGUAGCUAAUACCGCAUACCAUCAGAUGAACCCAUAUGGGAUUAGCUGGUAGGUAAGGUAACGGCUGACCUAGGCGACGAUCCCUAGCUGGUCUGAGAGGAUGACCAGCCACAAGGGACCUGAGAAACGGUCCAGACUCCGACGGGGGGCAGCAGGGGGGAAGAUUGCACAAGGGGGGCAAGCCUGAGGCAGCCAUGCCGCGGGUGUGAAGAAGGCCUUCGGGUUGUAAAGCACUUUCAGCGAGGAGGCGUUACUCGCAGAAGAAGCACCGGCUAACUCCGUGCCAGCAGCCGCGGUAAUAC